ACUUCCCUAGUAUCAAUUAGUACAGCUGACUUCCAAUCAUCCAGUCCUAGUAUAAUCUAGGGGGAAGUA
Molecule: transfer RNA, 69 nt
Filed under: Sciurus vulgaris (Eurasian red squirrel)
Lineage: Eukaryota; Metazoa; Chordata; Mammalia; Rodentia; Sciuridae
Also listed under: 2 other names
Description: transfer RNA-Gly
Source: RNAcentral